CAGUCGCCGCGGGAAUACGAAGGGUGCAAGCGUUACUCGGAAUUACUGGGCGUAAAGCGUGUGUAGGUGGUUGUUUAAGUCCGUCGUGAAAGCCCUGGGCUCAACCUGGGAAUUGCGAUGGAUACUGGGCGACUAGAGUGCGGUAGAGGAUAGUGGAAUUUCCGGUGUAGCAGUGAAAUGCGUAGAGAUCGGAAGGAACAUCUGUGGCGAAGGCGACUAUCUGGGACAACACUGACGCUGAAGCACGAAAGCGUGGGGAGCAAACAGGAUUAGAUACCCCCGUAGUCCCUGUCUCUUAUAC
RNAcentral lists this ribosomal RNA (301 nucleotides) under uncultured bacterium. Its description in RNAcentral is "partial 16S ribosomal RNA". It matches the Rfam family "Bacterial small subunit ribosomal RNA", at positions 509 to 807 of the family's 1533-position model. The record is from RNAcentral.